AACGAACGCUGGCGGCAUGCCUAACACAUGCAAGUCGAACGAGACCUUCGGGUCUUGUGGCGCACGGGUGCGUCACGCGUGGGAACCUGCACUUAGGUUCGGCAUAACUCCCCGACAGGGGUGCUAAUACCGGAUAAUAUCUUAGGCCCAAUGAUUUAUCGAGUUUGUUUGGGCCCGCGUGGGAUUAGAUUGUUGGUAGGGUAAUAGCCUACCACGGCGCCGAUGCGUAGCUGGUCAGAGAGGCAGAUCAGCCACACUGGGAGUAGGACCCGGUCGAGACUCCUACGGGAGGCAGGAGUGGGGAAUAGAGGACAGCGGGGGGAGGCCUGAUGGAGCUAUGCCGCGAGAGUGAUGAAGGCCUGAGGGAUGUAAAGCGCUUGUAACCGGGAUGAUAAUGACAGUACCGGGAGAAUAAGCCCCGGCUAACUACGUG
This 433-nucleotide ribosomal RNA is filed under the name uncultured bacterium. Its description in RNAcentral is "partial 16S ribosomal RNA". It matches the Rfam family "Bacterial small subunit ribosomal RNA", at positions 29 to 507 of the family's 1533-position model. The record is from RNAcentral.